CAAGGUAGCCGUAGAGUUUGAUUAUGGCUCAUGAAGUCGUAACGGGGUACCCGUAUGGUUUGAUGGUGUAACUCCGGGACACCGGGGCUAAUACCGGAAGGUUGUUUGAACCGCAUGGUUCAAACAUAAAAGGUGGCUUCGGCUACCACUUACAGAUGGACCCGCGGCGCAUUAGCUAGUUGGUGAGGUAACGGCUCACCAAGGCAACGAUGCGUAGCCGACCUGAGAGGGUGAUCGGCCACACUGGGACUGAGACACGGCCCAGACUCCUACGGGAGGCAGCAGUAGGGAAUCUUCCGCAAUGGACGAAAGUCUGACGGAGCAACGCCGCGUGAGUGAUGAAGGUUUUCGGAUCGUAAAGCUCUGUUGUUAGGGAAGAACAAGUACCGUUCGAAUAGGGCGGUACCUUGACGGUACCUAACCAGAAAGCCACGGCUAACUACGUGCCAGCAGCCGCGGUAAUACGUAGGUGGCAAGCGUUGUCCGGAAUUAUUGGGCGUAAAGGGCUCGCAGGCGGUUUCUUAAGUCUGAUGUGAAAGCCCCCGGCUCAACCGGGGAGGGUCAUUGGAAACUGGGGAACUUGAGUGCAGAAGAGGAGAGUGGAAUUCCACGUGUAGCGGUGAAAUGCGUAGAGAUGUGGAGGAACACCAGUGGCGAAGGCGACUCUCUGGUCUGUAACUGACGCUGAGGAGCGAAAGCGUGGGGAGCGAACAGGAUUAGAUACCCUGGUAGUCCACGCCGUAAACGAUGAGUGCUAAGUGUUAGGGGGUUUCCGCCCCUUAGUGCUGCAGCUAACGCAUUAAGCACUCCGCCUGGGGAGUACGGUCGCAAGACUGAAACUCAAAGGAAUUGACGGGGGCCCGCACAAGCGGUGGAGCAUGUGGUUUAAUUCGAAGCAACGCGAAGAACCUUACCAGGUCUUGACAUCCUCUGACAAUCCUAGAGAUAGGACGUCCCCUUCGGGGGCAGAGUGACAGGUGGUGCAUGGUUGUCGUCAGCUCGUGUCGUGAGAUGUUGGGUUAAGUCCCGCAACGAGCGCAACCCUUGAUCUUAGUUGCCAGCAUUCAGUUGGGCACUCUAAGGUGACUGCCGGUGACAAACCGGAGGAAGGUGGGGAUGACGUCAAAUCAUCAUGCCCCUUAUGACCUGGGCUACACACGUGCUACAAUGGACAGAACAAAGGGCAGCGAAACCGCGAGGUUAAGCCAAUCCCACAAAUCUGUUCUCAGUUCGGAUCGCGGUCUGCAACUCGAAUGCGUGAAGCAGGAAUCGGUAGUAAUCGCGGAUCAGCCUGCCGCGGGGAAUACGUUCCCGGUCCUUGUACACCCCGCCUCUCUC
This 1338-nucleotide ribosomal RNA is filed under the name Paenibacillus polymyxa. RNAcentral describes it as "bacterial SSU rRNA". It matches the Rfam family "Bacterial small subunit ribosomal RNA", at positions 59 to 1400 of the family's 1533-position model. The record is from RNAcentral. Lineage: Bacteria; Bacillati; Bacillota; Bacilli; Caryophanales; Paenibacillaceae.